This 125-nucleotide non-coding RNA is filed under the name Leptotrombidium deliense. Lineage: Eukaryota; Metazoa; Arthropoda; Arachnida; Trombidiformes; Trombiculidae. The record is from RNAcentral.
GCCAGGUGUGGUGGUGCACGCCUGUAAUCCCAGCAGCUCUGGAGGCUGAGACAGGAGGAUCAUGAGUUCAAAGCCACCUCAGCAAAAAAGCGAGGUGCUGAGCAGCUCAGUGAGACCCUGUCUCU